Molecule: long non-coding RNA, 410 nt
Filed under: Drosophila guanche
Lineage: Eukaryota; Metazoa; Arthropoda; Insecta; Diptera; Drosophilidae
Source: RNAcentral
UUGUCAAAACAAACCCGAAACGAUCCAGACGAUCCGACUCCGGUCAGAAACGGAAGUGCUCGCCUAGGGCACUGCGCAUGUGGCGGUGUGCAUGAGUCAAGUGCUUUGUGCCGCUUGUGGGCGGGGGCGGCGUUGGUAUAAAAUUUGAAUAUCUCCGAUGGUCGUAAAACUGUGUCGGAGAUUUAUCUUAAAGUCGCGCAAUUGCACGCGCCUUUAGGCUGAUGCGGCAGAUUGAUUUCGAGCUACUGUCCGUAGUUCCAGCCCCUGUCCACAGAACCAAAGUGGAAUUUGAUGUCAUAAUUUGGAAUAUUCACUGGCGGGGUUGAUAGAUGGGAAGAUGUAUCAAAUCGAAUUCAUAAUUAAUUCAUGUGCACAAAUUAUGAAGAUAUUCCGAUUGUAAAAUACCAUUG